GUCUGUUCAUCCUAACUGUUGGUAGUAUUGUCACCAUACAUGUGGAGCUCUAUUUUAUUUCAAACAUCAAAAAUUCAAACAUCUCUAGGAAGAAAAUAAGUUUUACUCUGAUAAUCUAAGUUAUGUUAAUAAUGUAUCACAGUAACAAGAGAUUAUUUUGGUGGGUUGUACUUUAGCAUGACCUUCUAUCUACUUUUGAAUGGAUUUGUUUAUGGGUCCUUAUGAGAGUGUAUGUGAAUAUGGGGUUAUUGAAGCUAUGUGGAUGAUUCCAUCUGAACUGUGGACAGCUAGAAGCAAAAGUGUUUUAAGAUACAGGUUUAUUUUAAUUUUUGUUUGUGACUACCUUGGUCAGAAUCUUAGUUAAGGUUCCUAUUGCUGUGAUUAACACCGUGGCACAAUCAACUUAGGCACAAAAAGAUUUGCUUCAUCACACAGUUUUGUAGUCCAUUGUCUAAGGAAGUCAAGGAAGAAACCUGGAGGCAAGAUCUGAUGGAGUCAUUUUCUCACUCACUUGAGGUUCCCUCCACCCACAUGACUCUAGCUUGGUACAAGUUGACAUGAAAACUAGCUAGCAAUCUUGUGAUAUGGAUAUUUUUUGUUUUUAAGUAUUAACACUUAGGAGAGAUGACUUAACUGGAGUGUGAUAAUUGAUCUUUUAAAUCCUGUUUUCAUUCUUAAACAAAAACCAAACCCACUAACCAACCAACCAACCAACCAACCAACCAAACCAAACCCUGAUCCUUAAGAUUGCAGGGCUUCAGAGGGAAAGUAGGCUAUGUUUCUGUUCUACUUGGAGUCUACCUGUUCAGUUGUUUUGUUGAGCAGAUGGAUGAUAAGGUAAAGUUAAAUUGAAAGAGUACUACAAGAAAAUGAUUACCAUAGAAGACAGUGAUGUUGCUGGUAAGAAUACAAUUCAAGAGGUUGGUUAUGUUUUUUUUGAACUUAGAGAAAAAAAGUCUUCAUUGGGUCUCUUUAAUGUGCUUGAUUUCAAGCUGCCAAACAUAGUUCUUAGAAACCUGGGAUGGAACACCUAUUUGUAACUUGAUGGUUCUUAAAUGCAUUUACCUCCCUUUUAGCCCACCACCCACCAGAGGUAGUGGGAAGAAAGGAUACGCGAGAAGGGAGCCUGUUUAGAAAGGUUCUUUGGAGCAACUACCAUCUGUGUUGUCUGGAAAUUGGCAUUUCAAUUCAUAGGUUAGCAGCGGCAGCUUGAUCCAUUAACAAACACUUCAUAGAUACACCAGCAAUCCAAAUCGGGAUAGCAAACAUAAAUCAGCAACAGUGGCACAACCUAGCAAAGACAGCCAGCCCUCAGCCUUGGCUUGAGUCAGCAGGAGGGACCAAGAGGAACACCAGAAGUUGGGCUUUGCCUCUCUCGGGGAAGAGUCGAGACCCACAAGGAUUGCACAGCUAGCUCUAUAAGCAGCCCAAACUCAGUCUCCAUUACUGUCUGUCCCUUGAGUCCUAUUUAUAUGCUCUAAACAUCACAUGUCCUCCAUGAGUCUUGUCUCAACAUGAGUUUCCCAGCUGACAUCACUGCCAAUCAGCCCGAGCAUGACGAAGUAGCAAGAAACUGCAACAUACCACCAGAAGGUUUUUGGUGUGGUUCUCUUUAUGGAGUCUGGACAAAUGCAGUUCAACUAUGCAGUGUAGAGCGGCCCAAUACAUAUCUGUUGUUAGCAGAGAAACCUUUGCUAACAUACUUGCUUUAGCAGAACAUCUUUUCUCCUGUGUCUGCUUCAGCUAAAUGUUCCUUCCCAAGUCUGCCUUAGUCUUUCACCUGUGUCUGCUUCAGCUACAUGUUCUUUCACUUGUUUGACCCAGCCAAACAUCAUCCAUUGACUUUCCAAAGAACCCUUAAGUUUCCACUUCACAUUUUCUUAGUUCUGCCCAGUCCAAAGUAGGGUGCUACAACACACAUAAACAUGGGCAUGGCAGUGCAGUAGGAUGAUAUCAAUAAGAAACUCUGUCCUUUCCUUUGUUUACAUACUUUAUAUCUAUGUGUGAGCAUUUUCCUUUUGUGAGCUGCAUCUUGUUAGGAGUGCAUACCAUAAACUUUACACCAAUAGUCUGAUUUGGCUCAUCUAUUUUAGGAUGACAUUUCUUUUACAUUAAUUCAGUUGGCUUCUUACCAGUAAUAUCAUUGCCAGGUUAUAGACCUACAGAUGGGAAAAUUUAUACUCAAAGUGAUUUAGUACUCUUCCCUCCUCCCAAAUUAUUACAUCAUAGCUAUUGACUAAAUCUGUUUUUUGAAGUAAGAUCUUUGGAUCUUUCUAUUAUUAAAUUACUUUCCUGUUGUAUGAGACCUGAAUUAAUAGGUAAAGAUUAAUAUCUACUAACACAUUAGAAAUUAUCCAAUGAAAGUCUAAUUAAUUCUUAAGGCUCAUUUGAAAUGUAAAUUAUGGAUACUAUAUGAGAGUUAGAAAGUUUGUGCUUAAUUUGUAUUAUUAACUGGGAUCAUUAUUUUAUGUAGGUUUGUUGUUAAUAUAUUUUUUAAAAGAUUUCUUUAUUUUAUUUAUAUGAGUACACUGUAGCUGUCUUCAGACACACCAAAAGAGGGCAUUGGAUUUCCAUUACAGAUGGUUGUGAGCAAACAUGUGGUUGUGGGAAUUCAACUCAAAGCCUCUAGAAGAGCAAGCAGUCAGUGCUGUUAACCACUGAGCCAUUUCUCUAGCCCCUGUUGUUAAUAUUUUUGACAGUCACCAAAACAGAACUAUUAACUCUUGUGAUUUUUUUCC
This 2738-nucleotide long non-coding RNA is filed under the name Mus musculus (house mouse). RNAcentral describes it as "long non-coding RNA chr15:35478824-35481562". Lineage: Eukaryota; Metazoa; Chordata; Mammalia; Rodentia; Muridae. The record is from RNAcentral.